GACUAGGAUAACUCAGUCAGUAGAGCAUGAGGCCCUUAAUCUCAGGGUCAUGGGUUCAAGCCUCACGUCAGGCA
Podarcis lilfordi (Lilford's wall lizard) is the source of this 74-nucleotide non-coding RNA. Lineage: Eukaryota; Metazoa; Chordata; Lepidosauria; Squamata; Lacertidae. The record is from the annotation of a GenBank genome assembly.